This 508-nucleotide ribosomal RNA is filed under the name Sporosarcina sp. CL2.91. RNAcentral's name for it is "bacterial SSU rRNA". It matches the Rfam family "Bacterial small subunit ribosomal RNA", at positions 15 to 500 of the family's 1533-position model. The record is from RNAcentral. Lineage: Bacteria; Bacillati; Bacillota; Bacilli; Caryophanales; Caryophanaceae.
GAUCCCUGGCUCAGGACGAAACGCUGGCGGCGUGCCUAAUACAUGCAAGUCGAGCGGAAUGAUGAAGAAGCUUGCUUCUUCUGAUUUUAGCGGCGGACGGGUGAGUAACACGUGGGCAACCUACCUUGUAGAUUGGGAUAACUCCGGGAAACCGGGGCUAAUACCAAAUAAUCCAUUUUGCUUCAUGGCGAAAUGUUGAAAGGCGGCUUCGGCUGUCACUACGAGAUGGGCCCGCGGCGCAUUAGCUAGUUGGUAGGGUAAUGGCCUACCAAGGCGACGAUGCGUAGCCGACCUGAGAGGGUGAUCGGCCACACUGGGACUGAGACACGGCCCAGACUCCUACGGGAGGCAGCAGUAGGGAAUCUUCCACAAUGGACGAAAGUCUGAUGGAGCAACGCCGCGUGAGUGAAGAAGGUUUUCGGAUCGUAAAACUCUGUUGUAAGGGAAGAACACGUACGAGAGUAACUGCUCGUACCUUGACGGUACCUUAUUAGAAAGCCACGGCUAA